UGAGUAACCUGCCCUGGACUUUGGGAUAACCCUCGGAAACGGGGGCUGAUACCGGAUAUGACACGCUCUCGCAUGGGAUGUGUGUGGAAAGUUUUUUUCGGUCUGGGAUGGGCUCGCGGCCUAUCAGCUUGUUGGUGGGGUGAUGGCCUACCAAGGCGACGACGGGUAGCCGGCCUGAGAGGGUGACCGGCCACACUGGGACUGAGACACGGCCCAGACUCCUACGGGAGGCA
This 233-nucleotide ribosomal RNA is filed under the name uncultured bacterium. RNAcentral's name for it is "partial 16S ribosomal RNA". It matches the Rfam family "Bacterial small subunit ribosomal RNA", at positions 118 to 350 of the family's 1533-position model. The record is from RNAcentral.